UACGGAGGGGGCGAGCGUUAUUCGGAAUUAUUGGGCGUAAAGGGCGCGUAGGCGGCUUGACAAGUCAAAGGUGAAAUCCCUCAGCUUAACUGGGGAACUGCGUCUGAUACUGAGUGGCUUGAGCGCAGGAGAGGAAUGCGGAAUUCCAGGUGUAGCGGUGAAAUGCGUAGAUAUCUGGAGGAACACCGGUGGCGAAGGCGGCAUUCUGGACUGUAACUGACACUGAGGAACGAAAGCCAGGGGAGCAAACGGG
RNAcentral lists this ribosomal RNA (253 nucleotides) under uncultured bacterium. RNAcentral's name for it is "partial 16S ribosomal RNA". It matches the Rfam family "Bacterial small subunit ribosomal RNA", at positions 524 to 776 of the family's 1533-position model. The record is from RNAcentral.